Molecule: small RNA, 658 nt
Filed under: Pan troglodytes (chimpanzee)
Lineage: Eukaryota; Metazoa; Chordata; Mammalia; Primates; Hominidae
Description: retained intron
Source: RNAcentral
UGGAGGGAAGCUCAGAACCUGCCCCUUGCCUGAUUUUCUGUGGGAAGUGUCCUUUUCAGGCUGUGACACAGCACGAUACAGAGUUUUGUCUGAGGAGAUGCAACCCCAAGUGUUCUCCUGGGUUUGAUGGCAAUGACAGUAACCUGGAAAGAAUAUACAGGUUAGGAUGGACUGGACAAUUGAGCAGAUUGUGUGCAGAUAACUUCUGGGUAGCUUGGGUGCUGUCACCAAAGUUUUCCCAUCAGUUGGCAUUUGUUUUUUCUUUUAAAAAGCUGAAAUCUAUACCUUGCUUCAAAAAUCGUAGGGCAAAUGAAGCGCAACAGAGGGGAAGAAAUAGAUUUUGAGACACCUGGGUCCAUUCUUGUCAACACCAACCUCCGUGCCCUGAUCAACUCUCGGACCUUCCAUGCCUUACCAUCACACUUCCAGCAGCAGCUCCUCUUCCUCCUGCCUGAAGUAGACAGACAGGUGGGGACGGAUGGCCUGUUGCGUCUCAGCAGCAGUGCACUAAAUAACGAGUUUUUUACCCAUGCGGCUCAGAGCUGGCGGGAGCGCCUGGCUGAUGGUGAAUUUACUCAUGAGAUGCAAGUCAGGAUACGACAGGAAAUGGAGAAGGAAAAGAAGGUGGAACAAUGGAAAGAAAAGUUCUUUGAAGACU